Molecule: long non-coding RNA, 179 nt
Organism: Sphaerodactylus townsendi
Lineage: Eukaryota; Metazoa; Chordata; Lepidosauria; Squamata; Sphaerodactylidae
Exons: 2
Source: RefSeq, a predicted model, not a curated record
UGCAUGGCCAUCUUGGAGGUCCAUCUCUGGUAACUGCGGCCUGACAUGAGCUGCAAGGAUGGUGGCCACCAAGAAGACGAAACAGUCCCUAGAGCAGGGAGUCUAUCAACUCCGAGCUUUAGUUUGUUAUGAAAAGUGGUAAAUAUGUGCUAGGGUACAAGAAGACUCUGAAAAUGAUC